This 600-nucleotide ribosomal RNA is filed under the name uncultured bacterium. RNAcentral's name for it is "bacterial SSU rRNA". It matches the Rfam family "Bacterial small subunit ribosomal RNA", at positions 724 to 1329 of the family's 1533-position model. The record is from RNAcentral.
GCCCACAAGGCCUUUACUGACGCUAAAGCUCGAAGGUGCGGGUAUCGAACAGGAUUAGAUACCCUGGUAGUCCGCACGGUAAACGAUGGAUGCCCGCUGUUUGCGAUAUACUGUGAGCGGCCAAGAGAAAUCGUUAAGCAUCCCACCUGGGGAGUACGCCGGCAACGGUGAAACUCAAAGGAAUUGACGGGGGCCCGCACAAGCGGAGGAACAUGUGGUUUAAUUCGAUGAUACGCGAGGAACCUUACCCGGGCUUGAACUGCAGAGGAAGGAUCUGGAGACAGUGACGCCCUUCGGGGCCUCUGUGGAGGUGCUGCAUGGUUGUCGUCAGCUCGUGCCGUGAGGUGUCGGCUUAAGUGCCAUAACGAGCGCAACCCCUUUCAUUAGUUGCCAUCACUUCGGGUGGGCACUCUGGUGAUACUGCCACCGUAAGGUGCGAGGAAGGUGGGGAUGACGUCAAAUCAGCACGGCCCUUACGUCCGGGGCUACACACGUGUUACAAUGGGUGAUACAGAGGGCAGGUGCAUGGCAAUGUGCAUCAAAUCUUGAAAGUCAUCCUCAGUUCGGAUUGGGGUCUGCAACCCGACCCCAUGAAGCUGG